AUAAUAGUCUAAUUUACAACACACUUAGGCUGUAUAUGGUUGUACUCUAAGCUUAAAGUGUGCUCUCUGCAGUUUUGGUGUUGUAUCAUAUGUUCAUUUGGUUGUAACCUUAUCCAUUUACAUACCCAUUUAUUCCUAGCCAAACACACACAUGUAGAGAGAGAAAAUGGCAGAAACCGAGAGGCAGCGUGGCCAUCCCACCUUCUGCGGUGGCGGCGCCACGGCGGAGCGGUAGUGGAGUCACGGCGUAGAUAUGGUGGAGUCAUGACGGAGCUGUUGCGGCGCCCCCUCAUUUGAUUUGAUUACUGGUGAAGCUCAGGCGACUUCUCCGGUCACCGAUCUGGGUCUGUAUGUAAAUACAUCUUACAGUCGAUUACUGUGUGAUUGUUAGUGCCUGACUUCUCUAUUUUUUUUCUAUGGCAACCCUUUUGUUCGAUUAGGGUUUCACGAAAGGGCUGUGAUGAGUUUGAGGGUCUGACAAAAGGUUACUGAAGAUCCCACCUUGGUAUGGCAGGGUUGCAGGAUGGUAGGUGAACACCUGCAACCUCCCCUGCAGCCAUGGUGGUUUCCCUAUUUCGCAAACUCUGAGGCUAACUGUACGAGAUUAGGGAUGAAUCAAAGUUGUUAUUUCUUAUGCAGACUCUGUUCUCGAUGAUUACACUGUUUUUGUUUUAAACCCUAAUUUUAGGGGUUGCGAGAACUGAUUGUUGCUAGAGACCGUUUUGCAGCGUUUUUUAGUUGAUUUGAGGCCUGGGAAUUGUGCCAAUGAAUGCCAUGAGGUAUCCGAGAUUCAAAGGCUAUGAUGAGAAAUCUGAGCCACCUUAUUGUGAAAAUUUAAGACUUGGCACAUACUGUGUUAAUUUUGAAAUUGUUUGGUGCUGAGAUAUUUCUAUUAUAUGGCCGUUGCCGGAGAUUUAGGGGCUGUGAUUUCAGUUAGAGGAUACAUAUAAUAUUCAGUUUUACUGGCCGUAGCCACUACUUAUAGUGUUAGUCAUGAUAUUGUCAAAAAAAAAAAAACACACUUAAACAUUGUCAAAAAAUGAUAUUUGUUUUUCGUGCAUAUUUAAGGUGUACAUUUGGUUAUGUUAGUUGUAUACUUUUGCAAGCUCUAUGUUCCAUAUGGGUUUUAGAGACGACGGUGGAACGACCAUCGUUUACGGUGAUGUACCCGAAGGCGAACAACGUCGCUUCUCACUUCUGAUGCGUACAUGACCGCCACAAAAAAAUCAGCGACGAGGAGUGUAUUCCGGUGAAGUCUGACGUGUUUCCGUCUGGCUAUUUAGGUUUCUUGUGGUGUUUGGGUUGUAAGCUUCCAAAAGAAGCUUUAUAUUCCCGGAGAGGGUUUAUACCUGUACGUCUCACCCACACCCACACACAUGAUUUUUUAGUUGCAUUUUUUCAAUUUUGUUCUUAUCUCUAUGUUCGCCAAUAUAUCUCUUAUCGGGUCGACCCGGUUUAUUAUGUUUGUAUCCAAAACCGUGUUCUGUGGGUACGCGUGUGUAGAAUUACUACUCUAUGUUAACAAAAGAUAGGAUUGUAUAGGUUUUGGUGUAGUGGAAAGGAAUAACUUGGAUAUCUCAGGUAAUAUAUUUGCAAUUGUUGUCUUCAUCAUAUUUUUGGUUUUUUGUUUUGCAGUGAAACUAUAUUUGUUUUUUGGUUUUCAUGGUAGGGUUAUGGUUUAGUCAUGCAUGAUAACAUCUUUGUUGCAGCCUUUUUCUACAAUCGUGGUUGCUACAACUGAAGGUGGAUGUAUGAGUUGGAUCUGUUGCAAAGGUUUGCUAAUCUCCUUCAAGAGGCUAUAGAGUCGGACCGUAUAAUUAAUAACAACCUUAAUGAGCUAACCAAACUGGUUAGUAGCAUCUGCCAAAAACAAGCCGCAUUACAAGUUGAAGUAGACGUGCUUAUAGCACACUUUUCUAGGGAAAACGAUGUUAAUGAAGAAAAAAACUAUAUGUCGUUAGUAGGUUAAAUAGUUGGUUGUUAAUUUUGGUUACCAAAUGUAAACAAUAAACAAUUGUACAUAUAUUUCGGUAUUUAUCGUAAUCUAAGUUUGUAAACAAAA
Long non-coding RNA from Helianthus annuus (common sunflower), 2062 nucleotides. RefSeq lists it as uncharacterized. The record is from RefSeq and is a predicted model, not a curated record. The transcript is spliced from 2 exons. NCBI's taxonomy places the organism in Eukaryota, Viridiplantae, Streptophyta, Magnoliopsida, Asterales, Asteraceae.